CCUACGGGAGGCUGCAGUGGGGAAUAUUGGACAAUGGGGGGAACCCUGAUCCAGCCAUGCCGCGUGUGUGAAGAAGGCCCUCGGGUUGUAAAGCACUUUCAGUGAGGAAGAACGCCUGGUGGUUAAUACCCAUCAGGAAAGACAUCACUCACAGAAGAAGCACCGGCUAACUCCGUGCCAGCAGCCGCGGUAAUACGGAGGGUGCGAGCGUUAAUCGGAAUAACUGGGCGUAAAGCGCGCGUAGGUGGCUUGAUAAGCCGGUUGUGAAAGCCCCGGGCUCAACCUGGGAACGGCAUCCGGAACUGUCAAGCUAGAGUGCAGGAGAGGAAGGUAGAAUUCCCGGUGUAGCGGUGAAAUGCGUAGAGAUCGGGAGGAAUACCAGUGGCGAAGGCGGCCUUCUGGACUGACACUGACACUGAGGUGCGAAAGCGUGGGUAGCAAACAGGAUUAGAUACCCCAGUAGUC
Molecule: ribosomal RNA, 465 nt
Filed under: Vreelandella stevensii
Lineage: Bacteria; Pseudomonadati; Pseudomonadota; Gammaproteobacteria; Oceanospirillales; Halomonadaceae
Description: partial 16S ribosomal RNA
Rfam family: Bacterial small subunit ribosomal RNA
Source: RNAcentral